This is a long non-coding RNA of Oreochromis aureus, 579 nucleotides long. RefSeq lists it as uncharacterized. Lineage: Eukaryota; Metazoa; Chordata; Actinopteri; Cichliformes; Cichlidae. The transcript has 3 exons. The record is from RefSeq and is a predicted model, not a curated record.
UGGGAACCGGUUCUCAACAAGAACCAGGUUUCGAUACCCAUCCCUAAAUAUAAUGGGUGUUAGUCUCUGGGUACUGUUACUGUGCUCGGCUGCUAGUGAUGCUAGCUCUUUGCCUGCCUGUCUGAUGCAGUGCUACAUGGAAAUUUGUGUCAGCUGGAGAAGGCAAUGACAAAUACAAAGAGUAGAGUUACAACUGUGCGGACUGUAGAGUGUGAAUGGAGAUAAGGCAACAUGCUGGAACCCUGAUAACAACAGUCAGAGAUCGUUGUCAACUUCUCUUGAACUUCGGACUCGGGCAUUCUCCCUUCAAGAUUUUCUGGUAGAGAGUAUUCCAAGCUCUGAAGCGGUAAAGCUGGUUCAGGACUCCAGGACUGAAAAAUGAAGCCAAUGAAAAGAAAAGGCAUGACAAUACUAGAGUCCCUCAAGCAUUUCUCUAUCCAUUCAGUUCAAUUCAAUUCAGCUAAUUUUUAUGUAUCGAGUGCCAAAUCACAACAAUAGUUGCCUCAAGGCACUUAUGGUGAUGUUUCAAAGCCAGGAGAUAUGAGGGUUGGAUUUCACUUUGAAGCUUUUUAUCCUCUU